This 353-nucleotide long non-coding RNA is filed under the name Equus caballus (horse). Its description in RNAcentral is "lncRNA (ENSECAG00000043923.1)". The record is from RNAcentral. Lineage: Eukaryota; Metazoa; Chordata; Mammalia; Perissodactyla; Equidae.
CCUGUUGCCCCUCUGCCUUUGGGAUUUCGUAUGUGAAGCGACUUCUGUAAGCAAGGAGCAAUCAUUUUGAGAUUGAUAUGAAAUUAAAAAGCUACACCUAGAAGAAAGCAUUGUGGAGGCCACAAGAAGGUUUGUAGACCUCAUCAAUGUAUACUUUACAGAGAAAUUCAACAUCGUCCUUGGAACAAAAAAGACCACACUCUUUUUCUAAACUGCUUCCAGGUGGUGUUAAUGCUGCUGGUUCUUGAACCACACUUUCAGCAACAAGCACAUACGCUAAAGUGGACAUACAAACUGUCAGAAUUAGAACUGAUGCUGCAGGAUGGGAUACGGAGACCAAGCUAUCGUUACAC